GGAGGCAGAUGUUGCAGUGAGGUGAGAUCGCACCACUGCACUCCAUCCUGGGUGACAGAGUGAGACUGUCUCAAAAAAAAAAAAAAAAAAAAAAAAAAGACUCACAAGGAGUGGAUUUCAGGAAACCAAAAUGAUAUGUCCUUAGCACCUGAAAAAAUAUGCAGAAACUCAGGUUACAUAUGGAAUUCAUUAGGUGUUUUCUUUGUCCAUUCCUGAUCAGUUUUCUUACCACCCUCCCCAUGAAAAGUAGGUGAUCUGGGUGAAUUCAUUCACAAUCUGGUUCAAUUUCUCAAGAACAUGUAUUGAUCACUGCCAUAGUUCAAAGGAGGGUCUCGAGUAGGGAGGUGAGAGUGGGGGUCUUUGAAAGCAGUAGGGAAUGAAGGGAGGAGCCCACUGGGAGCUGGGAUUCUUGAACUCCCAGGUAAUGCAGAGAAUGUGGUGAUUUAUGAACUGUAUUGUACUAAGCUAUAGUAAAAUUGUUUGGUACAACUUAGAGCACACUAUAUUUCUUCAAACACAGUGAUUUCAUUUCGACCUGAACAGUUACUCUGCAGUCCAUAAAAUAUUAACAUUGCCUUUCUACAUAUACAUUAUUUACUGUACAGUGUAUAAAAUAUUUAUGUGAUUUUCUCUAAAGAUACUGUAUAUAGUGCAUUAUUUUUAUCCACUUUUUCCCCCUCCUGGAAGCAGGCAUGCCGUGAACUGGAAAAUGUUUUUGAAAUCAAGGAAAAGCAGCAAAAAGGAAGGCGUUACCAUGGAACUGAGAGAGGAGAUACAAAUCUUUGUUCCUGAUGGUCUUGUUCCCACCUGCCUGGGUGCUGCAGCUCUGUGCUGCCUGAGAAAGCCAGUGACCAAGAGGAGCAGAAGACUAGCAGUCGACCUUCCAACCACGAUGGCCGUUGAAGAGAUGCCAUCAAGCCAGGGUCUCUGCUUCUCCCUGCUGCAGCCUGUAUCCGAGACUGGCUUCCUGACCUGCACCUCGGUGAAAGGAAGGAAAGAGAAGGGGAAAUAGAAACAGAAGAGCAUGUACAUUUUGACCUACUGUUCAACUAGACUUCCAAUGAUGAAUGGAGGGUGAUUUCUACCAGGUGAAAAUCUUAUUUAUCUAUCCUAGACUGUGGGUAAAAAAUCCUGGAUGAGAGCC
RNAcentral lists this long non-coding RNA (1144 nucleotides) under Cercocebus atys (sooty mangabey). RNAcentral's name for it is "lncRNA (ENSCATG00000045468.1)". Lineage: Eukaryota; Metazoa; Chordata; Mammalia; Primates; Cercopithecidae. The record is from RNAcentral.